RNAcentral lists this ribosomal RNA (399 nucleotides) under uncultured bacterium. RNAcentral's name for it is "bacterial SSU rRNA". It matches the Rfam family "Bacterial small subunit ribosomal RNA", at positions 30 to 426 of the family's 1533-position model. The record is from RNAcentral.
AUUGAACGCUGGCGGCAUGCCUUACACAUGCAAGUCGAACGGCAGCACGGGAGCAAUCCUGGUGGCGAGUGGCGAACGGGUGAGUAAUAUAUCGGAACGUGCCCGGUCGUGGGGGAUAACGUAGCGAAAGCUACGCUAAUACCGCAUACGAUCUACGGACGAAAGCGGGGGAUCGCAAGACCUCGCGCGAUUGGAGCGGCCGAUAUCAGAUUAGGUAGUUGGUGAGGUAAAGGCUCACCAAGCCGACGAUCUGUAGCUGGUCUGAGAGGACGACCAGCCACACUGGGACUGAGACACGGCCCCAGACUCCUACGGGAGGCAGCAGUGGGGGAAUUUUUGGACAAUGGGCGCAAGCCUGAUCCAGCAAUGCCGCGUGCAGGAUGAAGGCCUUCGGGUUGU